This 425-nucleotide ribosomal RNA is filed under the name uncultured bacterium. Its description in RNAcentral is "bacterial SSU rRNA". It matches the Rfam family "Bacterial small subunit ribosomal RNA", at positions 354 to 796 of the family's 1533-position model. The record is from RNAcentral.
GUGGGGAAUCUUAGACAAUGGGGGAAACCCUGAUCUAGCCAUGCCGCGUGAGCGAUGAAGGCCUUAGGGUUGUAAAGCUCUUUCAGCUGGGAAGAUAAUGACGGUACCAGCAGAAGAAGCCCCGGCUAACUCCGUGCCAGCAGCCGCGGUAAUACGGAGGGGGCUAGCGUUGUUCGGAAUUACUGGGCGUAAAGCGCACGUAGGCGGAUCAGAAAGUCAGAGGUGAAAUCCCAGGGCUCAACCUUGGAACUGCCUUUGAAACUCCUGGUCUUGAGGUCGAGAGAGGUGAGUGGAAUUCCGAGUGUAGAGGUGAAAUUCGUAGAUAUUCGGAGGAACACCAGUGGCGAAGGCGGCUCACUGGCUCGAUACUGACGCUGAGGUGCGAAAGCGUGGGGAGCAAACAGGAUUAGAAACCCGAGUAGUCC